CCUCAACUCUCAUGCCAAGGUAGUAAAUAGAGUUAGAGUUCUAGAGCAUUUCACACAGAAAGAAUUUCUCCGGUAUGGCCUGCAUGCCUCUGGUGAGUGGCUUUAUGCCAAAGUCGACCUUGGUCCUCCGCAUGGCUAGUACCAGGCUUUGCCUACAGCGGAAAACUUUGAUCAUGGCGGUCAAUAUUCCCAUAGCUAGACGUGGAGCUGAGGUCAGUCACGGGGGCGGUGGCAAAAUCAAUCAAACACGCAAAUCCAUGGACGCGGUUCGUAUGGCAGAGGAGAAGCUCUCUCUUGGCGGCUUCAACAGUGUGAAAGAAAACAAGAAACAAAGCAAGGAAAAAGUAGACGAUGGCAUCACAGUAAACACCGAAACCAGUGGUUGAUGGUUGCAAUCAGCAGCAGUAAGCACCGAAACCAGCCAGUGUGUUUCUGUCCUGGGUGCUCUGAACUGCCUUCCAAGAAGCAAAAUAAGCUAGCCUGGUAGAGUGAGGACCUUAUAAUUAGUAGUACUGUACACGCAGUGUUUGUUUAUGUUGGUCUGAGAAUGACAAGAUACGUAUGUGGGUUUGGAUAGCAAAAGUUAUGGCUAUGCCGUAUGUAGUAUCUAGGCUUUGACGCAAGUAGUGAGAGGAAAAAUAAUAAGGUAUCUAACUUAUUAUUGCCGUAUUUAAAAACGUGGUUGUACUAAUGUUUCUUAAAUAUUUGAAAUGUUAUUUUUAUUUAAA
Molecule: long non-coding RNA, 728 nt
Organism: Populus trichocarpa (black cottonwood)
Lineage: Eukaryota; Viridiplantae; Streptophyta; Magnoliopsida; Malpighiales; Salicaceae
Exons: 2
Source: RefSeq, a predicted model, not a curated record